AAGGGUGGAAUUCAACCACUAGCUCUGUCCUGUAUUAACUGUGCUUCCUUGAACAAGCUGCGGAGUGUCUCUUGGGUCCCUCAUGCAGAACGGGGAAAAUCACGCACACCUUGCAGAUCGGUGACUUUGUGGCUCUUCGAGAACUUUGGAAAGGCUACUCUGAGUAGACGGAUAUCCUUCAGAGCAAGAGCCGUUUUCCACGUGUUUUCUCAACGAGAGACACACACAAACCCACCUGGAAAUCUCAAGAGCUUUAGCCCAGGACUCCCACGUCCACCCUCCACAACAGACAGCAAUUCCAGGAUCCUUUUAAACCCACUGAAGCACACAGCGGAUGGCAAACACAGCUUCGCAGGACUUGAAUGCGACAGAACUUCCAAAGGGAAAUCCAACAUCAGCGUCCCUCUCGGCCCAGUGAGCUCCGCAGCGAGGCCAGUGCGGGGUGAAGGAGGAGGAGAGCUUUAUCAUCCUCGAGUUCUGAAGGACGCUGUCCUGCCUCGGGCUGGCUGCUGUGAGCCUGUCUGAAAUUCAAGUCCAAGUGAGGGUCUGUUUGGUUCAGCUGCAGAGAGACAGAGGUUGCUGCAGGUAGGAAUUUGAAAGAGUUAUCAAGGGCCCUGGCACAACAUCAGCCAUGCUGCCAGUUGUUACUUUCCCACAAAGGGACUAGCUGUAAGAGCUUGAUAAAAUCAGGAAUCAGAUCUCAAGAUAAGAGUCUCUUUUCAAGUGCUUGAUUUCCAAAUACAAGCAAAUCCUUCCCUGCCUGUCCCUGGGACCAAGAGAAGUGAGACGCUCCUGGGCUGUCUUCUCACAGGGCACAUGGGGCUGCAAGGGGAUCAGGGGCCCUGCAUUGGCACAAGGGUGGCUGGUGCCCCUGGGUGAAUGGGGGCUGUACCCAGGCUCUAUUCGAAGUGCUUUCGUGGCUGUACCUCAUGUCAUGCUCCAAGAACCACGAGGUGUUAACAGACGGCACCCGGGGAAGACAGAGUUAAGUAAUUCUGCCAGGCUUGCAGAGCUCUGAACAAUGGAGCUAGAAUUUGAAGCUAGACGGUCUGGUCCUGUGCAUGCCCUUAUUACAACUCAAGGCUGUUCGUCUUUGACAGUACUCAAAGCAAAGAGCAGGCCAUAAACCGCACGGGACCGUCUGUACGUUGAAGAUAUACUGCCCGCAGAGCAUUCCGGCUCCCUCUGCCUCCCCAGCUACAAUAGCCAUGCUGGUCCGUGGUGUGUCGGGCUAGGUUACCUCCAUCUGCUCUUCAGCAUGACCAGGUCAUGGCCAAAGGCACGUCUUGCCUGCUUUCCCACAUUCCCGCGGUGGGCUGGCAGGUUGCAGGCUGCUGUCAGGCUCCUGUACGCUUUGCAUAAGCAAAUGAGCUCUUGGAGGUCACCUAGGAACUAACAGCACUGAUUAAUUCAACAUUCACUCGUUCCUUCAACAAACAAGGGCUGUUUAGUUAGAAGAAUGGGCCAGGCACUCGCUGCUCGCCUCGGUCAGCUUUGAUGAUUCUGAGCACAGACGCCGUGUGCUGGGGACACACCCUGGGACGUUACUGUGUCCGUUCGCGUGUGCCCACAGGGAUGCCAUAUUUACUCACAUGAGGGGACAUUUGAUUUCUCCUUGCUCUUAAGACAAAUUGUAGGUGCCUUCUGCGCACCCUCUCCUGGCUUCCGUCACCUAGCUAGUCUAUGCACCUGCAAGGACCGCGUCGCCAGACUCCCCAGACCAGCUCAGGCUCACACGACCGAGGCCAUAGUGUCACGGCAAGGGACUCAUCUCCUUCACACCGUGAUCACAUUUGUGAUUAACUCAGAGGGGUAUUUGUUUGGGACCUAUUUCCAUGGAGAGACCGUGAGCUCCAUGAGAAGAAAGAGACCCAUCUGUUCCGAGCUGUGCCACUGGAACCAAGCCCGCCAUGCAGCCUCCCAUCAGCCUACUGCAAGCCUGAGCAGGUGAGAAGGCGAGGUGGCCCACUACCAGGGAGGAGUGUGACUUACAAACUACGGUCUUUAGCACAUAAUUCUACUCGUCCAAUCAACCUUGGCCCAGGAAGAUAAAAGUCCAAAGAACCUCCUUGCUCAUCCCAGGAACUUUCUGAAAGAUCCAUCAACACUUGGACAGAAAGCAUCAGAUGAUGGCUUUCACCUGCAGGAGCCAAAGGAACACGGCCUCUGCCUGGGAAGGUUUGGAAAUUGAGCCCCGUGAAAUGACGGAGAGUUGGCAGAUGGGCAGAAGAGGCACAGGUGUCCAUCCUGAGCAGGGGCACCCAUCGGGAAGUGAGCGGGCACAUUCGUAAGCUUGGGUGCCCUCUCCACAGGCCAGAGGGAAGAGGGAGGACCCAGCACUGUGGGCAGGUGGUGUGCCUGGCCCUGGUGUCCACUGUGGACCUUUCCCUGGGCUCCUCUUUUGGAGGAACCGCCCUCGGGUGGAACACGGAGAAAGUCCUUCCCUGGGCCUCAGGGGAGAGUGAGGGAGGAGAGACCAGGAAAGGAGGGAGACAGGCUCAGGGUUCUUGGCCCUGGGUCUGCUUCUUAGAAGCACUCAGCUGCCCAAGCACCACACUUUGGGGUGUUCCAUUCUGAGCCCCUAGACAUCACCAACUCCUCUUCCCGACACCGCUGGCUUGCUCCGGCCACUACUCCCCGAUUCUUACACUGCAAUCCUUCUCCAAACCCAGGGAGCGCCUGCAUGGGGCAUCCACUUCGUGACUUCCUUCCAAAACUCAGUACGUAUGGUGACUUUGUCCCCCGAGACAGCAGGCUGAGACAGGAUUCCCCGGAAGCUCAGGUAGG
Ictidomys tridecemlineatus (thirteen-lined ground squirrel) is the source of this 2787-nucleotide non-coding RNA. The record is from RefSeq and is a predicted model, not a curated record. NCBI's taxonomy places the organism in Eukaryota, Metazoa, Chordata, Mammalia, Rodentia, Sciuridae.